This 660-nucleotide ribosomal RNA is filed under the name uncultured bacterium. Its description in RNAcentral is "bacterial SSU rRNA". It matches the Rfam family "Bacterial small subunit ribosomal RNA", at positions 202 to 849 of the family's 1533-position model. The record is from RNAcentral.
AAAAGAUGGUUCUGCUAUCACUCUUGGAUGGACCUGCGGUGCAUUAGCUAGUUGGUAAGGUAACGGCUUACCAAGGCAAUGAUGCAUAGCCGAGUUGAGAGACUGAUCGGCCACAUUGGGACUGAGACACGGCCCAAACUCCUACGGGAGGCAGCAGUAGGGAAUCUUCCACAAUGGACGCAAGUCUGAUGGAGCAACGCCGCGUGAGUGAAGAAGGGUUUCGGCUCGUAAAGCUCUGUUGGUAGUGAAGAAAGAUAGAGGUAGUAACUGGCCUUUAUUUGACGGUAAUUACCUAGAAAGUCACGGCUAACUACGUGCCAGCAGCCGCGGUAAUACGUAGGUGGCAAGCGUUGUCCGGAUUUAUUGGGCGUAAAGCGAGUGCAGGCGGUUCAAUAAGUCUGAUGUGAAAGCCUUCGGCUCAACCGGAGAAUUGCAUCAGAAACUGUUGAACUUGAGUGCAGAAGAGGAGAGUGGAACUCCAUGUGUAGCGGUGGAAUGCGUAGAUAUAUGGAAGAACACCAGUGGCGAAGGCGGCUCUCUGGUCUGCAACUGACGCUGAGGCUCGAAAGCGUGGGUAGCGAACAGGAUUAGAUACCCUGGUAGUCCAUGCCGUAAACGAUGAGUGCUAAGUGUUGGGAGGUUUCCGCCUCUCAGUGCUGC